AACGCUGGUGGCGUGCUUAACACAUGCAAGUCGAACGAGAAAGUUUCCUUCGGGAAAUUAGUAAAGUGGCGCAAGGGUGAGUAUCACGUGAAUAAUCUGCCCUCGAGAUCGGGAUAACAUGGUGAAAACUAUGCUAAUACCGGAUAAGACCACAUUUCAUAAGAAAUGCGGUAAAAGGAGUCUCAAUCUCCACUCGAGGAUGAGUUCGCGCAACAUUAGCUUGUUGGUGAGAUAAAAGCUCACCAAGGCUACGAUGUUUAGCCGGCCUGAGAGGGUGAACGGCCACACUGGAACUGAGACACGGUCCAGACUCCUACGGGAGGCAGCAGUGGGGAAUAUUGCGCAAUGGGCGAAAGCCUGACGCAGCAACGCCGUGUGAGCGAUGAAGGCUUUAGAGUCGUAAAGCUCUGUCAAAUGGGAAGAAUUUUGACGGUACCAUUAGAGGAAGCCCCGGCUAACUCCGUGCCAGCAGCCGCGGUAAUACGGAGGGGGCAAGCGUUGUUCGGAAUUAUUGGGCGUAAAGCGUAUGUAGGCGGCUAGGUAAGUCAGGCGUGCAAGCCCGUGGCUCAACCACGGAAUUGCGUUUGAUACUGCUUAGCUUGAGUACAGGAGAGGAAAGCGGAAUUCCCAGUGUAGCGGUGAAAUGCAUUGAUAUUGGGAAGAACAUCUGUGGCGAAGGCGGCUUUCUGGUCUGUUACUGACGCUGAGAUACGAAAGCCAGGGUAGCGAACGGGAUUAGAUACCCCGGUAGUCCUGGCUGUAAACGAUGGGCACUAGGUGCAGGAGGUAUCGAUCCCCUCUGUGCCGUAGCUAACGCGUUAAGUGCCCCGCCUGGGGAGUACGGUCGCAAGGCUGAACCUCAAAUGAAUGCG
This 872-nucleotide ribosomal RNA is filed under the name Nitrospina sp. SCGC AAA288-O16. RNAcentral describes it as "SSU rRNA". It matches the Rfam family "Bacterial small subunit ribosomal RNA", at positions 32 to 913 of the family's 1533-position model. The record is from RNAcentral. Lineage: Bacteria; Pseudomonadati; Nitrospinota; Nitrospinia; Nitrospinales; Nitrospinaceae.